CUUUCAUGUAGUGUGUAACAUAGCUCUAAGUGAAUGAAAACAUCCUGCAAAGUUUUAAAUCUGAAAUUGCACCAUAUAUAAAGUAAUUGUCUCUUAAAAGUAAGAGUCGACUCUGAGUCAAUUAAACGAGUCGUUUGUAAAAUGAAUCCCAAGCCGUUUCGUUGUGACGUCAAAACGAAACAUUAGCAUAUCGCCCGCCCACGUAUUGCGCGCGCAGACACCAGGGAAAACUUCAACCUAAAUGCGUUCAAUGAAGGAUGGGUCAGUACCCAGUUUAUUUGGACCAGCUUCUUUCUCCGCCGAAUCACAACCUGUCCUUGUCGGGAAAGGUUCCUCAGCAGACCCGUGAGAGAACGGAGCUCAGCGUCCGUAGGGCUUCGCAACAGGUCAAGAAUCACCGGCAACAUCCGCUCCUGCUCCAGCGCCACACGACUCAACACAGAGGCCCACUAAGAGAGAAAAAAGGAAAAUGGGCUCCCGCUGUUGCCUCACGUGUCGCUGUGCUUGUCUCGCAGCUCUGCAGGAUGCGGUUGUACAGACCGACUAUCUGAGGGUGCCACAGCCAUUCUGCUCCCUUAGGGACUCUUGCCACUUCAGAGAAGUACGCUGCUGAGAGCACAUAAUUACACUAAUGUUCAAAAGUUUGGGCAGCUGAUGGGGUCAUUGUGCCGCGUGUCCUGUGCUCGAGUGGGUCCUUCCAGACGCAUCUGAACUGAAGCAGGGAUCUCAGAGUACAGCUGAUAAGAGACUUGGAACUGAAUCCAGGGCUUUUGGAUUGGUAUCUCACAGUGGAUGAGUGGCCGUUAAAUUCUGGAAAAGAGGACCAUUAAGUACAAUGUUAAAACAAUGUAUUUGUUUAUGAGCAUAUUUGUGUCUAAUUUGUGUGUAUAUUAUUUCCAUUAAAAAAAAAAAAAAAAAAGGAAAUUCUAUCAUCAUUUGACUUACAAAAAAAAAAAAAGACUUUCUUCUCCGGAACAGAAAAUACAAUAUUAUAAAGAAUGUCCCACCUCUUUUUGUCUACAAUUAAAGCCUGCGGGAUUCAAUACAACACUGAGACAUUUGUUCACAAUAUUUUCUUUUGUGUUCCACAGAAAAAGGUUUUUUUUUCUUUUCUAUUUUGCUAUCAAGAUAAUUAUUUUCAAGAGAAACAAGAACUACUUCUCUUCCAGAUGGCUUUAAUUUUGAUGGAAUUUCUUCCAAGCAUUACAUUGGUCAACAGUGACACAAGACCCAGCUGUGUCACCUGAUCUUUGUUUGGCAUUCAGCUCUCUGACUUUGUGCUUCAGCAAAUUUUAAGAGAUCGGGUUUCUAUCAGUGCUUGGCUUCUCAACCCAGUCUGCUGCAAACAGUGCUGAUUACCUGUCUACAUCUAAUAGAUAUGUGAACAUACAUUAGAUUUAAAUCUAUGAAACAAGGAAGUUAUUACAUGGCUGAGAGGGGAAGUCUGCAAUAGCAAUCACACCGUAAAAGAAUGAAACAGAAGGAAAAGAAGAUGACAUCAUAGGGAGGUCCUUUGUCUUAUUUUCAAAGUUUUUUGGAGGUACUUCAGUGCUCUAUUUUCUUUCUUUUAUGUUCUUUAUUGUCUUACUCUCUUUUUUCUCUUUCUUUCCUCUGUACACUAACUUUUGUAGACAGACAAACAACUUGAGUGGUUGAUCCCUGUAUGAAAGCAAUGGGACAAUAAGAAACAGAAAUUGUCUACAUUCAACAAACCAAAGUGAGUCAGCAAUCCAUUCCAGUACCACUGGAUA
Megalobrama amblycephala (Wuchang bream) is the source of this 1751-nucleotide long non-coding RNA. RefSeq lists it as uncharacterized. The record is from RefSeq and is a predicted model, not a curated record. Lineage: Eukaryota; Metazoa; Chordata; Actinopteri; Cypriniformes; Xenocyprididae. The transcript is spliced from 6 exons.